GGCAGACGGCUGAGUAACACGUGGGAAUCUACCCUUUACUCUGGCAUAACCCAUCGAAAGAUGGAAUAAUUCCAGAUACACUCUUCGGAGGAAAGCUUUUGCGGUAUAGGAUGAGCCCACGGCCUAUCAGGUUGUUGGUAAGGUAAUGGCUUACCAAGCCUAUGACGGGUAGCUGGUCUGAGAGGAUGAUCAGCCAGACUGGGACUGCGACACGGCCCAGACUCCUACGGGAGGCAGCAACUAGGAAUUGAGCGCAAUGGACGAAAGUCUGACGCCGCGUCACCGCGUGCAGGAUGAAGGCCCUAGGGUCGUAAACUGCUUCUAUAGAGGAGCAAGUUCUGAGAGUACUCUAUGAAUAAGUGCCUGCUAACCACGUGCCAGAAGCAUCGGUAAUACGUGGGGCACAAGCGUUAUCCGGAAUCACUGGGCGUAAAGAGAGCGUAGGCGUCCUUGCAAGUUUGAUGUUAAAUCCCAACGCUCAACGUUGGAACUGCAUUGAAAACUGUAAGGAUUGAGUUAGGUAGAGAAGAGGGGAAUUCCCGGUGGAGCGGUUAAAUGCGUUGAUAUCGGGAGGAACACCAAUUGCGAAGGCACCUCUUUGGACCUAUACUGACGCUCAGGCUCGAAAGCGUGGGGAGCAAAACGGAUUAGAUACCCGUGUAGUCCACGCUGUAAACGUUCCCUGUUAGAUGUUUGG
RNAcentral lists this ribosomal RNA (697 nucleotides) under uncultured bacterium. RNAcentral describes it as "bacterial SSU rRNA". It matches the Rfam family "Bacterial small subunit ribosomal RNA", at positions 97 to 827 of the family's 1533-position model. The record is from RNAcentral.